GGUAGCUGUAUUCCGGCGAAAUGGCGGACGAGGAAGAUAGAGCACUGGAAGAGCAGUUGGAAAUUCAAUUGGAUGAGCAGAAAGACGCUCUCCAUUCUCUCACUGAAGCACUAUCCUCUGAUCCUUCCGAUCCCGAACUCCUCUCUGUUCAUGAAGAGCUUGUUCAGUCUAUAAAAGACUCUGAGGAAGGCCUUCUUCACCUAAAACGUGCAAGGUUGUUGCUAGAGGUUGAUGCUUCUUUACAUGGUUUCAAGGAGCAACCUGCUGAUGUUGAGGUGGAGCCUCUUGAUCCAACAGAGAAUGAAGAAGAACCGCUAGUGGAUGAAGA
This 328-nucleotide unclassified non-coding RNA is filed under the name Hevea brasiliensis (rubber tree). The record is from RNAcentral. Lineage: Eukaryota; Viridiplantae; Streptophyta; Magnoliopsida; Malpighiales; Euphorbiaceae.